Molecule: long non-coding RNA, 1218 nt
Filed under: Homo sapiens (human)
Lineage: Eukaryota; Metazoa; Chordata; Mammalia; Primates; Hominidae
Description: LHRI_LNC217.28
Rfam family: U2 spliceosomal RNA (bases 1-192)
Source: RNAcentral
AUCGCUUUCUCGGCCUUUUGGCUAAGAUCAAGUGUAGUAUCUGUUCUUAUCAGUUUAAUAUCUGAUACGUCCUCUAUCCGAGGACAAUAUAUUAAAUGGAUUUUUGGAGCAGGGAGAUGGAAUAGGAGCUUGCUCCGUCCACUCCACGCAUCGACCUGGUAUUGCAGUACCUCCAGGAACGGUGCACCCCCUCCGGGGAUACAACGUGUUUCCUAAAAGUAGAGGGAGGUAAGAGACGGUAGCACCUGCGGGGCGGCUUGCACGCCGAGUGCCUGUGACGCGCCGGCUUGACUUAACUGCUUCCCUGAAGUACCUUGAGGUUCCUGAUGUGCGGGCGGUAGACGGUAGGCUUAUGUGGCACGCUUUCGUUUCCACCGUGGCUACUGCGCUUUGGGAAGGCCACGACCUCCUCCUUUGGGGAGGUCCUUAGGAUCUCAGCUUGGCAGUCGAGUGGGUGGCGACCUUUUAAAGGAAUGGGACCCACCCGGAGUUCUUCUUUCUCCUGUCUCUCUCUCUCUCUCUCUCUUUCUCUCUCUCUCUCUCUGUCUCUCCGUCUCUCUGUGUCUGUCUCUGUCUCUCUGUCUCUCUCUCUCUCUCUCUCUCCUCUCUCUGUCUCUCUCUCUCUUUCCCUCUCUCUCUCUCUUUCCCCCCCCCGCCUCUCCCUCGCUCUUUUGGUUUCCCCCACCCCCUCCCAAGUUCUGGGGUACAUGUGCAGGACGUGCAGGUUUGGAACAUAGGUACACGUGUGCCACGGUGCUUUGCUGCACCUAUCCACCAGUCGUCUAGGUUUGAAGCCCCGCAUGCGUUGGCUAUUUGUCCUAAUGCUCUCUCUCCCCUUGCCCCCCACGCCCCGUCAGGGCCCGGCGUGUGAUGUUCCCCUCCCUGUGUCCCAUGUGUUCUCGCUGUUCAACUCCCACUUAGGAGCGAGAACAUGCGGUGUUUGGUUUUCGCUUCCUGUGUCAGUUUGCUGAGAAUGAGGCCUUCCAGCUUCAUCCACGUUCCCGCAGAGGUCAUGAACUCAUCCUUUUUUAUGGCUGCGUAGUAAUUCCAUGCUGUAUACGUGCCACACUUUCUUUAUCCAGCCUAUCAUUCAUGGGCAUUCGAGUUGGUUCCAAGUCUUUGCUAUUGUAAAUAGUGCUGCAGUAAACAUACGUGUCCACGUGUCUUCCUAGUAGGAACUUCUUCCUCUUCAGCCCGCUGAGUAGCUGGCACUUUAAG